CCAGUUGGCGAUGGGGCCCUCCUGGGUGGCGAGACCCUGCAUGAUGCAGCCGAGCCACGCGAACAUGGAGAGGCGGCAGUGCUUGAGCUCCUUGAUCUUGAGCUCCUCGAGGUCACCGGACUCGGCGAGGCCGAGGGGGUCGAAGCGGCCACCGGGGGACACGUCACCGACGGUGAGCUCGUCGAAGACGGGGUCGGAGAGGCCGGUGCGGUAAGCCUCGGCGAGGCCGACGAGGACGACCUCGAUGGCGAGGACGGCCCAGAAGGAGGGGUAGCCGGAGCCCUCGGGGGCGAGGGGAGCGACGGCGCCGGGGAACUUGUCCGCGACGGCGGUGCAGUCGUCGGGGGUGCAGAGGGUACCGGCGGUGAACCAGGGGAUGCCGGUGCCGUUCUCGGCGGCCCAGGCACCGGUCACGCCGAGCAUCGCCCAGCGGCCGUGGAUGACCUCACGCUCGGCGUUCUUCUCGGAGCCGAAGGGGAUGAUGGGGGACUCGCCGCCGCCGGGGUAGGUGCCGAACUCGGGGUAGAUGUCGGCCUUGAUGACCUUGGAAACAGACUUGGCCUGAAAAGAGGAGAAAGGAGGGCGUCGUCGUCGUCAGUCGCGUGUUUCCGGCGUCAGAUCCGAGCCCGCGAAAACGAGCAUCUCCCCGAAAUUUCGGGCCGCAUUCGAAUGUCGUCAACGGCGAGUUGCGUCGCUCGCGGGUGAAAUACAC
RNAcentral lists this long non-coding RNA (712 nucleotides) under Micromonas commoda. RNAcentral's name for it is "long non-coding RNA (MCOM_LNC000136)". The record is from RNAcentral. Lineage: Eukaryota; Viridiplantae; Chlorophyta; Mamiellophyceae; Mamiellales; Mamiellaceae.